RNAcentral lists this transfer RNA (74 nucleotides) under Ailuropoda melanoleuca (giant panda). It matches the Rfam family "tRNA". From Rfam's summary of the family: Transfer RNA (tRNA) molecules are approximately 80 nucleotides in length. Their secondary structure includes four short double-helical elements and three loops (D, anti-codon, and T loops). The record is from Rfam by way of RNAcentral. Lineage: Eukaryota; Metazoa; Chordata; Mammalia; Carnivora; Ursidae.
ACCUGGCUGGUUCAGUCAGGUGGAACAUGUGACUCUUGAUCUUGGGGUCAUGAGUUCAAGCCCCAUGUUGGGCA